UUUGAUUAUGGCUCAGGAUGAACGCUAGCGGUAGGCCUAACACAUGCAAGUCGAGGGGCAGCACAUGAAGUAGCAAUACGGAUGGUGGCGACCGGCGCACGGGUGAGUAACGCGUAUGCAACCUGCCUACAACAGGGGAAUAACCCGUUGAAAGACGGACUAAUACCCCAUAACACAGGGAUCCCGCAUGGGAAUAUUUGUUAAAGAUUUAUCGGUUGUAGAUGGGCAUGCGUUCCAUUAGCUUGUUGGUGAGGUAACGGCUCACCAAGGCAACGAUGGAUAGGGGAACUGAGAGGUUUAUCCCCCACACUGGUACUGAGACACGGACCAGACUCCUACGGGAGGCAGCAGUGAGGAAUAUUGGUCAAUGGACGCAAGUCUGAACCAGCCACGUCGCGUGAAGGAAGACGGCCCUACGGGUUGUAAACUUCUUUUGUAAGGGAAUAAAGUGUAGUACGUGUACCAUUUUGCAUGUACCUUACGAAUAAGGAUCGGCUAACUCCGUGCCAGCAGCCGCGGUAAUACGGAGGAUCCGAGCGUUAUCCGGAUUUAUUGGGUUUAAAGGGUGCGCAGGCGGGAGAUUAAGUCGGCGGUGAAAUUUUGCAGCUCAACUGUAAAAGUGCCUUCGAAACUGGUUUCCUUGAGUGUGGAUGAAGUAGGCGGAAUUUGUGGUGUAGCGGUGAAAUGCAUAGAUAUCACGAGGAACUCCGAUUGCGCAGGCAGCUUACUAAACCAUAACUGACGCUCAGGCACGAAGGCGUGGGGAUCAAACAGGAUUAGAUACCCUGGUAGUC
RNAcentral lists this ribosomal RNA (794 nucleotides) under uncultured Porphyromonadaceae bacterium. RNAcentral's name for it is "bacterial SSU rRNA". It matches the Rfam family "Bacterial small subunit ribosomal RNA", at positions 12 to 795 of the family's 1533-position model. Lineage: Bacteria; Pseudomonadati; Bacteroidota; Bacteroidia; Bacteroidales; Porphyromonadaceae. The record is from RNAcentral.